GGCCCUGUGGUGUAGCGGUCUAACAUGCCGCCCUGUCACGGCGGAGACCGACGGUUCAAAUCCGUUCAGGGUCGCCA
RNAcentral lists this transfer RNA (77 nucleotides) under Sporomusa termitida. Its description in RNAcentral is "tRNA-Asp". It matches the Rfam family "tRNA". Rfam says of the family: Transfer RNA (tRNA) molecules are approximately 80 nucleotides in length. Their secondary structure includes four short double-helical elements and three loops (D, anti-codon, and T loops). Further hydrogen bonds mediate the characteristic L-shaped molecular structure. tRNAs have two regions of fundamental functional importance: the anti-codon, which is responsible for specific mRNA codon recognition, and the 3' end, to which the tRNAs corresponding amino acid is attached (by aminoacyl-tRNA synthetases). tRNAs cope with the degeneracy of the genetic code in two manners: having more than one tRNA (with a specific anti-codon) for a particular amino acid; and 'wobble' base-pairing, i.e. permitting non-standard base-pairing at the 3rd anti-codon position. Lineage: Bacteria; Bacillati; Bacillota; Negativicutes; Selenomonadales; Sporomusaceae. The record is from RNAcentral.